Molecule: ribosomal RNA, 497 nt
Filed under: uncultured bacterium
Lineage: Bacteria
Description: partial 16S ribosomal RNA
Rfam family: Bacterial small subunit ribosomal RNA
Source: RNAcentral
GAUGAACGCUGGCGGCGUGCCUAAUACAUGCAAGUCGAGCGAACGGACGAGAAGCUUGCUUCUCUGAUGUUAGCGGCGGACGGGUGAGUAACACGUGGAUAACCUACCUAUAAGACUGGGAUAACUUCGGGAAACCGGAGCUAAUACCGGAUAAUAUUUUGAACCGCAUGGUUCAAAAGUGAAAGACGGUCUUGCUGUCACUUAUAGAUGGAUCCGCGCUGCAUUAGCCAGUUGGUAAGGUAACGGCUUACCAAGGCAACGAUGCAUAGCCGACCUGAGAGGGUGGUCGGCCACACUGGAACUGAGACACGGUCCAGACUCCUACGGGAGGCAGCAGUAGGGAAUCUUCCGCAAUGGGCGAAAGCCUGACGGAGCAACGCCGCGUGAGUGAUGAAGGUCUUCGGAUCGUAAAACUCUGUUAUUAGGGAAGAACAUAUGUGUAAGUAACUGUGCACAUCUUGACGGUACCUAAUCAGAAAGCCACGGCUAACUACGUG